AGCGUAUAUCAUAAUCAGUCAAUGUUGGAUAAAGUACUUUGAAAUCUGUGCUGUUCACAUACUCGAAAAUCAAGCUCGGUGUUUUUGAAUGUUGAUCUCUGACAAUGUCAAAAAGCUUGAUGAUAUUUGGACCCCCACAGAGGUUCUGAAGUAUUUUUAUCUCUCUCUUUAUCUUCUUCUUCUUAACAGGCUUAAGGAUCUUGAUUAUGCACCGCUCGUUGUUAUUAACAUUUAUUCCCUCAAAUACCUCACUAUAUUUUCCUCUUCCA
Molecule: unclassified non-coding RNA, 269 nt
Filed under: Hevea brasiliensis (rubber tree)
Lineage: Eukaryota; Viridiplantae; Streptophyta; Magnoliopsida; Malpighiales; Euphorbiaceae
Source: RNAcentral